Molecule: ribosomal RNA, 587 nt
Filed under: uncultured bacterium
Lineage: Bacteria
Description: partial 16S ribosomal RNA
Rfam family: Bacterial small subunit ribosomal RNA
Source: RNAcentral
UGGGGAAUUUUGGACAAUGGGCGAAAGCCUGAUCCAGCAAUGCCGCGUGUGUGAAGAAGGCCUUCGGGUUGUAAAGCACCUUUGUCCGGAAAGAAAUCCUUGGCUCUAAUACAGUCGGGGGAUGACGGUAUCGGAAGAAUAAGCACCGGCUAACUACGUGCCAGCAGCCGCGGUAAUACGUAGGGUGCAAGCGUUAAUCGGAAUUACUGGGCGUAAAGCGUGCGCAGGCGGUUUGCUAAGACCGAUGUGAAAUCCCCGGGCUCAACCUGGGAACUGCAUUGGUGACUGGCAGGCUAGAGUAUGGCAGAGGGGGGUAGAAUUCCACGUGUAGCAGUGAAAUGCGUAGAGAUGUGGAGGAAUACCGAUGGCGAAGGCAGCCCCCUGGGCCAAUACUGACGCUCAUGCACGAAAGCGUGGGGAGCAAAACAGGAUUAGAUACCCUGGUAGUCCACGCCCUAAACGAUGUCAACUAGUUGUUGGGGAUUCAUUUCCUUAGUAACGUAGCUAACGCGUGAAGUUGACCGCCUGGGGAGUACGGUCGCAAGAUUAAAACUCAAAAUGAAUUGACGGGGUCAUAGCUGUUUCCU